AAAUUUGAAUUUCAGGUGAACACUGAAUAGUUUUUAGUAUAAGUAUAUCCCAUGCAAUAUUUGGGACAUACUUAUACUAAAAAGUCUGUGGUU
Molecule: microRNA precursor, 93 nt
Filed under: Dasypus novemcinctus (nine-banded armadillo)
Lineage: Eukaryota; Metazoa; Chordata; Mammalia; Cingulata; Dasypodidae
Description: miRNA (ENSDNOG00000046596.1)
Rfam family: mir-1302 microRNA precursor family (bases 31-82)
Source: RNAcentral